UUUUUCUGCUCCAGGUGAGGGGCAAGGAUGGGAAGAGGACACAGAAGAACCUGGAGUGGCUGAGUCUGGCCUGCCCAGGGCCCUGUGGUGAACAAGGGCAGUUAAUCUGGACCCACGUUGAUAAAAGGAGAUAUGCAGGUGAACAAUGUGCUUUUUCUUCACUGCUUUUGCUUCCCUGCUCUUUGCCUGCUCUCUCUGCUGUGCCCAGCCCUGCUGCUCUUGCACACUGCCUUAUUGCUGCCUGCUAAACUCCACUGCCGCAAGUUACCAGAAGCAGACCCAGGAUGCCUGCACGCGAUCAGCCUGUGUGGCCAGAGUGACAUCAUGCUGAGACUGCACCACAUCUGUCUCUGCACCUGAAGGUCCUGCCUAGAGUUUCUGGACAUAUAUAUGCAGAUUAUCCAGAAGAAGCCAGGAGACAAGGUCAGAGAUUGUCUGCAUCCUUUCCCCAGGAGCCAGGAAGAUUCAAGCCCCAACAUCCAAUAAUGCAAAGUCCCCUGAAAGCAUUUGGACACUGUCUGGACUGUGGCCAAGCCCCACGAGUGGGUAAUAAUAAUUUGUGAGCAAAUGCUUAAAUGUCUCUUUGUGAUUCUCCACUGCCUUCUGCCCUAGAGCAGAAAGAGCUUGAGCUCAUCUACUGGGCACGCGGCAUAUUGACUGCAAGUGACAUUUGACCACGGGAACCUUCUCUUCCAGUUCAAUUAAUGUAUAUGUAUUUUGCUGGUUAUUGCUAGAUCUAGAUAUUAUCCACAGAAUGUUUCCAUGACCGUGUAAGAACCCAAAUAUUAUUAAAAUCAGUGGUUCUGAAUAGCAAAAUUAAUAAACAAUAUUAAUUUUGGAAAAAUAUCAUCUUGCACCAAUUAAUUUCCCCUCCUCAACAACAGUGUAUUCCUAAAAGCAAUAAAGGCAGCUCUCAUUCUUCCUUC
Molecule: long non-coding RNA, 926 nt
Organism: Pogoniulus pusillus (Red-fronted tinkerbird)
Lineage: Eukaryota; Metazoa; Chordata; Aves; Piciformes; Lybiidae
Exons: 2
Source: RefSeq, a predicted model, not a curated record